GGGGAUGUAGCUCAAACGGUAGAGCGCUCGCUUUGCAUGCGAGAGGUACGGGGUUCGAUACCCCGCACCUCCA
RNAcentral lists this transfer RNA (73 nucleotides) under Nelumbo nucifera (sacred lotus). It matches the Rfam family "tRNA". Rfam says of the family: Transfer RNA (tRNA) molecules are approximately 80 nucleotides in length. Lineage: Eukaryota; Viridiplantae; Streptophyta; Magnoliopsida; Proteales; Nelumbonaceae. The record is from Rfam by way of RNAcentral.